GAUGAACGCUGGCGGCGUGCCUAAUACAUGCAAGUCGAGCGAACAGACGAGGAGCUUGCUCCUCUGACGUUAGCGGCGGACGGGUGAGUAACACGUGGAUAACCUACCUAUAAGACUGGGAUAACUUCGGGAAACCGGAGCUAAUACCGGAUAAUAUAUUGAACCGCAUGGUUCAAUAGUGAAAGACGGUUUUGCUGUCACUUAUAGAUGGAUCCGCGCCGCAUUAGCUAGUUGGCAAGGUAACGGCUUACCAAGGCAACGAUGCGUAGCCGACCUGAGAGGGUGAUCGGCCACACUGGAACUGAGACACGGUCCAGACUCCUACGGGAGGCAGCAGUAGGGAAUCUUCCGCAAUGGGCGAAAGCUUGACGGAGCAACGCCGCGUGAGUGAUGAAGGUCUUCGGAUCGUAAAACUCUGUUAUUAGGGAAGAACAAAUGUGUAAGUAACUAUGCACGUCUUGACGGUACCUAAUCAGAGAGCCACGGCUAACUAC
Molecule: ribosomal RNA, 494 nt
Filed under: uncultured bacterium
Lineage: Bacteria
Description: partial 16S ribosomal RNA
Rfam family: Bacterial small subunit ribosomal RNA
Source: RNAcentral